UACGAAGGGGGCUAGCGUUGCUCGGAAUUACUGGGCGUAAAGGGCGCGUAGGCGGUUCUAUAAGUCAGGCGUGAAAUUCCUGGGCUUAACCUGGGGGCUGCGCUUGAGACUGUGGGACUUGAGGUCAGAAGAGGGUCGUGGAAUUCCCAGUGUAGAGGUGAAAUUCGUAGAUAUUGGGAAGAACACCGGUGGCGAAGGCCGCGACCUGGUCUGAUACUGACGCUGGGGCGCGACAGCGUGGGGAGCAAACAGG
This 253-nucleotide ribosomal RNA is filed under the name uncultured bacterium. Its description in RNAcentral is "partial 16S ribosomal RNA". It matches the Rfam family "Bacterial small subunit ribosomal RNA", at positions 524 to 776 of the family's 1533-position model. The record is from RNAcentral.